RNAcentral lists this ribosomal RNA (497 nucleotides) under uncultured bacterium. RNAcentral describes it as "partial 16S ribosomal RNA". It matches the Rfam family "Bacterial small subunit ribosomal RNA", at positions 28 to 507 of the family's 1533-position model. The record is from RNAcentral.
GAUGAACGCUGGCGGCGUGCCUAAUACAUGCAAGUCGAGCGAACAGACGAGGAGCUUGCUCCUCUGACGUUAGCGGCGGACGGGUGAGUAACACGUGGAUAACCUACCUAUAAGACUGGGAUAACUUCGGGAAACCGGAUCUAAUACCGGAUAAUAUAUUGAACCGCAUGGUUCAAUAGUGAAAGCCGGUUUUGCUGUCACUUAUAGAUGGAUCCGCGCCGCAUUAGCUAGUUGGUAAGGUAACGGCUUACCAAGGCAACGAUGCGUAGCCGACCUGAGAGGGUGAUCGGCCACACUGGAACUGAGACACGGUCCAGACUCCUACGGGAGGCAGCAGUAGGGAAUCUUCCGCAAUGGGCGAAAGCUUGACGGAGCAACGCCGCGUGAGUGAUGAAGGUCUUCGGAUCGUAAAACUCUGUUAUUAGGGAAGAACAAAUGUGUAAGUAACUAUGCACGUCUUGACGGUACCUAAUCAGAAAGCCACGGCUAACUACGUG